This 253-nucleotide ribosomal RNA is filed under the name uncultured bacterium. RNAcentral describes it as "partial 16S ribosomal RNA". It matches the Rfam family "Bacterial small subunit ribosomal RNA", at positions 524 to 776 of the family's 1533-position model. The record is from RNAcentral.
CACGGGGGGAGCAAGCGUUGUUCGGAAUCACUGGGCGUAAAGGGCGUGUAGGCGGUUUGGUAAGUGGAAUGUGAAAUCCCCCGGCUUACCCGGGGACCUGCAUCCCAUACUGCCAAGCUUGAGUACGGGAGAGGAUGAGGGAAUUCCUGGUGUAGCGGUGAAAUGCGUAGAUAUCAGGAGGAACACCGGUGGCGAAGGCGGGUCUCUGGGCCGAUACUGACGCUGAGGAGCGAAAGCGUGGGGAGCGAACAGG